ACCUCAUGGUGACUUUCCCCAAAAUCAAGAAGUUUCAAAACAACAAGGCAAGCUUUCCACUCUUUGACGCUUUGGGAGAACUCUAUGAUGGUCAUCUGGCUGAAGGGACAAACAAUUUCACUUCUAUUGAG
Long non-coding RNA from Setaria italica (foxtail millet), 131 nucleotides. RefSeq lists it as uncharacterized. The record is from RefSeq and is a predicted model, not a curated record. NCBI's taxonomy places the organism in Eukaryota, Viridiplantae, Streptophyta, Magnoliopsida, Poales, Poaceae. The transcript is spliced from 3 exons.